Molecule: ribosomal RNA, 116 nt
Filed under: bacterium
Lineage: Bacteria
Also listed under: 1 other name
Source: RNAcentral
CCUGGCAACCAUGGCGGGAGGGAAACACCCGUUCCCAUCCCGAACACGGUCGUUAAGCCUCCCAGCGCCGAUGGUACUGCCUCCGAGAGGAGGUGGGAGAGUAGGUGUUGCCAGGG